UGGCUCCGGCAUCGAUGAAGAACGCCGCGAAACGCGAUAGGUAAUGUGAAUUGCAGAAUCCAGUGAAUCAUCGAAUCUUUGAACGCACAUUGCGCCCCCCGGCAUUCCGGGGGGCAUGCCCGUCCGAGCGUCAUUGCACCUAUCAAGCCCCGCUUGGUCUUGGGCCGCGCCUGGUUCCGCAGGCGGGCCCAAAACGCAGUGGCGGCCGCAGGGGAUCCCCAGCGCGAUGGUAACCCUAGCAACGCUGGUCCGAUCGCCCGCGGGCGCCAACCAACCACCCCAGAAAUUGACCUCGGAUCGGGCAGGGAUACCCGCUGA
Molecule: unclassified non-coding RNA, 318 nt
Filed under: uncultured fungus
Lineage: Eukaryota; Fungi
Description: partial contains 5.8S ribosomal RNA and internal transcribed spacer 2
Rfam family: 5.8S ribosomal RNA (bases 1-133)
Source: RNAcentral